UGGGGAAUAUUGCACAAUGGGGGGAAACCCUGAUGCAGCAACGCCGCGUGAGUGAAGAAGUAUUUCGGUAUGUAAAGCUCUAUCAGCAGGGAAGAAGAUGACGGUACCUGACCAAGAAGCCCCGGCUAACUACGUGCC
RNAcentral lists this ribosomal RNA (138 nucleotides) under uncultured bacterium. RNAcentral's name for it is "partial 16S ribosomal RNA". It matches the Rfam family "Bacterial small subunit ribosomal RNA", at positions 355 to 509 of the family's 1533-position model. The record is from RNAcentral.